GGGCCGCUAGCUCAAUCAGGCAGAGCAACUGACUCUUAAUCAGUAGGUUCGGGGUUCGAUUCCCUGGCGGCUCA
This 74-nucleotide transfer RNA is filed under the name Acidobacteriota bacterium. RNAcentral's name for it is "tRNA-Lys". It matches the Rfam family "tRNA". From Rfam's summary of the family: Transfer RNA (tRNA) molecules are approximately 80 nucleotides in length. Their secondary structure includes four short double-helical elements and three loops (D, anti-codon, and T loops). Further hydrogen bonds mediate the characteristic L-shaped molecular structure. tRNAs have two regions of fundamental functional importance: the anti-codon, which is responsible for specific mRNA codon recognition, and the 3' end, to which the tRNAs corresponding amino acid is attached (by aminoacyl-tRNA synthetases). tRNAs cope with the degeneracy of the genetic code in two manners: having more than one tRNA (with a specific anti-codon) for a particular amino acid; and 'wobble' base-pairing, i.e. permitting non-standard base-pairing at the 3rd anti-codon position. Lineage: Bacteria; Pseudomonadati; Acidobacteriota. The record is from RNAcentral.